CAAAAUUUCAGGGUCUAUCCU
Molecule: non-coding RNA, 21 nt
Filed under: Arabidopsis thaliana (thale cress)
Lineage: Eukaryota; Viridiplantae; Streptophyta; Magnoliopsida; Brassicales; Brassicaceae
Source: RNAcentral